UUAAAUUGAAGAGUUUGAUCAUGGCUCAGAUUGAACGCUGGCGGCAGGCCUAACACAUGCAAGUCGAACGGUAACAGGAAACAGCUUGCUGUUUCGCUGACGAGUGGCGGACGGGUGAGUAAUGUCUGGGAAACUGCCUGAUGGAGGGGGAUAACUACUGGAAACGGUAGCUAAUACCGCAUAACGUCG
This 189-nucleotide ribosomal RNA is filed under the name Escherichia coli. Its description in RNAcentral is "partial 16S ribosomal RNA". It matches the Rfam family "Bacterial small subunit ribosomal RNA", at positions 1 to 181 of the family's 1533-position model. The record is from RNAcentral. Lineage: Bacteria; Pseudomonadati; Pseudomonadota; Gammaproteobacteria; Enterobacterales; Enterobacteriaceae.